AGGGGCCCGCGCCUGAUUAGCUAGUUGGUGGGGUAACGGCUCACCAAGGCGACGAUCAGUAUCCGGCCUGAGAGGGCGGACGGACACACUGGGACUGAGACACGGCCCAGACUCCUACGGGAGGCAGCAGUGGGGAAUUGUUCGCAAUGGGCGCAAGCCUGACGACGCAACGCCGCGUGGAGGAUGAAGAUCUUCGGGUCGUAAACUCCUGUCGAGCGGGACGAAUGCCUUAGGAGUGAAUAUCUCCCGGGGGUGACGGUACCGCUAAAGGAAGCCCCGGCUAACUCCGUGCCAACAGCCGCGGUAAUAC
This 310-nucleotide ribosomal RNA is filed under the name uncultured bacterium. Its description in RNAcentral is "bacterial SSU rRNA". It matches the Rfam family "Bacterial small subunit ribosomal RNA", at positions 225 to 526 of the family's 1533-position model. The record is from RNAcentral.